Molecule: long non-coding RNA, 1262 nt
Filed under: Salmo salar (Atlantic salmon)
Lineage: Eukaryota; Metazoa; Chordata; Actinopteri; Salmoniformes; Salmonidae
Description: lncRNA (ENSSSAG00000113479.1)
Source: RNAcentral
CCCCCACCACCACAACAUCUACACUGUGUCAUCCAGAUGGAACUUUCCUUCCCACCACCACAACAUCUACACUGUGUAAUCCAGAUGGACCUUUCCUUCCCCCACCACUACAACAUCUACACUGUGUCAUCCAGAUGGACCUUUCCUUCCCCCACCACCACAACAUCUACACUGUGUCAUCCAGAUGGAACUUUCCUUCCCACCACCACAACAUCUACACUGUGUCAUCCAGAUGGAGCUUUCCUUCCCCCACCACCACAACAUCUACACUGUGUCAUCCAGAUGGACCUUUCCUUCCCCCACCACCACAACAUCUACACUGUGUCAUCCAGAUUGAACUUUCCUUCCCCCACCACCACAACAUCUACACUGUGUAAUCCAGAUGGACCUUUCCUUCCCCCACCACCACAACAUCUACACUGUGUCAUCCAGAUGGACCUUUCCUUCCCACCACCACAACAUCUUCACUGUGUCAUCCAGAUGGAACUUUCCUUCCCCCACCACCACAACAUCUACACUGUGUCAUCCAGAUGGAACUUUCCUUCCCCCACCACCACAACAUCUACACUGUGUCAUCCAGAUGGACCUUUCCUUCCCCCACCACCACAACAUCUACACUGUGUCAUCCAGAUGGAACUUUCCUUCCCACCACCACAACAUCUACACUGUGUCAUCCAGAUGGAACUUUCCUUCCCCCACCACCACAACAUCUACACUGUGUCAUCCAGAUGGAACUUUCCUUCCCCCACCACCACAACAUCUACACUAUGUAAUCCAGAUGGAACUUUCCUUCCCCCACCACCACAACAUCUACACUGUGUCAUCCAGAUGGAACUUUCCUUCCCCCACCACCACAACAUCUACACUGUGUCAUCCAGAUGGACCUUUCCUUCCCCCACCACCACAACAUCUACACUAUGUAAUCCAGAUGGAACUUUCCUUCCAACCACCACAACAUCUACACUGUGUCAUCCAGAUGGAACUUUCCUUCCCCCACCACCACAACAUCUAUGUAAUCCAGAUGGAUUGAGAGAUGGGACUGAUAUGCUUCCCUGUGUUUCCCCAUAGGUCUGAGUGAAGACCGUGGUGUUGUGAACAGAGUGGAGACAAACAAGAGGAAACAGAGAGAGAGGAAGUGUGUGUGUGUGUGUGUGUGUGUGUGUGUGUGUGUGUGUGUGUGUGUGUGUGUGUGUGUGUGUGUGUGUGUGUGUGUGUGUGUGUGUGUGUGUUUGGUUUUACUAUCCUUGUGAGGACCAGAGUCC